GGUCUAUAAGUUUGUAAGGAUAAAAUCUUUUAUAAGUAGACUAAAAGGACGCGGUAACCUUGACCGUGAUAAUGUAGCAUAAUCACUCGCCAUUUAAUUGGUGGAUAGUAUGAAUGGUUGAACGAAUAUUCCACUGUCUUAAGAAGAAUUAAAAGAAAUUGAAAUAAUAGUUAAGAUGCUAUUUAAAACUGUAAGACGAAAAGACCCUAUAGAGCUUAACUAUAAUCUCUUUAUAUAAAAUGAAAAAUAAUUUAAUAUUUAUAGAGAUUGGUAGUUUAGUUGGGGCGACUGUCUUCUAUAUAAAACGAAGACAAGCAAUGUAAUAAUAAACUUAUUGUAUAACUUAAUAGUUUAACAAUUAUAAAAAUAGGCUAUAAUGACCCGUUAUUAUUUGAUAGAAAAGAUAACGAUCAAUUAAUAAAAGCUACCUUAGGGAUAACAGGAUAAUUUUAUUUUAGAGUUCAUAUCGAAAAUAAAGUUUGUCACCUCUAUGUUGAAUUAA
Molecule: ribosomal RNA, 502 nt
Filed under: Eucheilota bakeri
Lineage: Eukaryota; Metazoa; Cnidaria; Hydrozoa; Leptothecata; Campanulariidae
Description: partial 16S ribosomal RNA
Rfam family: Bacterial large subunit ribosomal RNA
Source: RNAcentral